UGGGGAAUAUUGCACAAUGGACGGAAGUUUGAUGCAGCGACGCCGCGUGGAGGGUGUAGGCCUUCGGGUUGUGAACUCCUUUUUCUCGCGAAAAAGGCACAGUUUUGGCUGUGUUGAUGGUAGUGGGGGAAGAAGCGCCGGCUAACUACGUGCCAGCAGCCGCGGUAAUACGUAGGGCGCGAGCGUUGUCCGGAUUUGUUGGGCGUAAAGAGCUCGUAGGUGGUUCGUCGCGUCUGUCGUGAAAGCCAGCAGCUUAACUGUUGGUCUGCGGUGGGUACGGGCGGGCUUGAGUGCGGUAGGGGUGACUAGAAUACCUGGUGUAGCGGUGGAAUGCGCAGAUAUCAGGAGGAACACCGAUGGCGAAGGCAGGUCACUGGGCCGUUACUGACACUGAGGAGCGAAAGCGUGGGGAGCGAACAGG
Molecule: ribosomal RNA, 421 nt
Filed under: Fusobacteriota bacterium
Lineage: Bacteria; Fusobacteriati; Fusobacteriota
Description: Fusobacteria bacterium partial 16S ribosomal RNA
Rfam family: Bacterial small subunit ribosomal RNA
Source: RNAcentral